CAGUCGCCGCGGGAAUACGUAGGGUGCGAGCGUUAAUCGGAAUUACUGGGCGUAAAGCGUGCGCAGGCGGUUUUGUAAGACAGGCGUGAAAUCCCCGGGCUCAACCUGGGAAUGGCGCUUGUGACUGCAAAGCUAGAGUGCGGCAGAGGGGGAUGGAAUUCCGCGUGUAGCAGUGAAAUGCGUAGAUAUGCGGAGGAACACCGAUGGCGAAGGCAAUCCCCUGGGCCUGCACUGACGCUCAUGCACGAAAGCGUGGGGAGCAAGCAGGAUUAGAUACCCCGGUAGUCCCUGUCUCUUAUAC
Molecule: ribosomal RNA, 301 nt
Filed under: uncultured bacterium
Lineage: Bacteria
Description: partial 16S ribosomal RNA
Rfam family: Bacterial small subunit ribosomal RNA
Source: RNAcentral